UACGUAGGGUCCGAGCGUUGUCCGGAAUUAUUGGGCGUAAAGAGCUUGUAGGCGGUUUGUCGCGUCUGCCGUGAAAAUCCGGGGCUCAACCCCGGACUUGCAGUGGGUACGGGCAGACUAGAGUGUGGUAGGGGGAGACUGGAAUUCCUGGUGUAGCGGUGGAAUGCGCAGAUAUCAGGAGGAACACCGAUGGCGAAGGCAGGUCUCUGGGCCACUACUGACGCUGAGAAGCGAAAGCAUGGGGAGCGAACAGG
This 254-nucleotide ribosomal RNA is filed under the name uncultured bacterium. RNAcentral describes it as "partial 16S ribosomal RNA". It matches the Rfam family "Bacterial small subunit ribosomal RNA", at positions 524 to 776 of the family's 1533-position model. The record is from RNAcentral.